GUCUACGGCCAUGCCACCCUGAACAAGCCCGAUCUCGUCUGAUCUCAGAAACUAAGCAGGGUCGGGCCUGGUUAGUACUUGGAUGGGAGACCACCUAGAAGACCAGGUGCUGUAGGUG
Molecule: ribosomal RNA, 118 nt
Filed under: Pteropus alecto (black flying fox)
Lineage: Eukaryota; Metazoa; Chordata; Mammalia; Chiroptera; Pteropodidae
Source: RNAcentral